This 434-nucleotide ribosomal RNA is filed under the name uncultured Lachnospiraceae bacterium. RNAcentral's name for it is "partial 16S ribosomal RNA". It matches the Rfam family "Bacterial small subunit ribosomal RNA", at positions 341 to 792 of the family's 1533-position model. Lineage: Bacteria; Bacillati; Bacillota; Clostridia; Lachnospirales; Lachnospiraceae. The record is from RNAcentral.
ACGGAAGGCAGCAGUGGGGAAUAUUGCACAAUGGGGGAAACCCUGAUGCAGCGACGCCGCGUGAGUGAAGAAGUUAUUCGUAAUGUAAAGCUCUAUCAGCAGGGAAGAAAAUGACGGUACCUGACUAAGAAGCCCCGGCUAACUACGUGCCAGCAGCCGCGGUAAUACGUAGGGGGCAAGCGUUAUCCGGAUUUACUGGGUGUAAAGGGAGCGUAGACGGCUUAGCAAGUCUGAUGUGAAAGGCAGGGGCUCAACUCCUGGACUGCAUUGGAAACUGUUAAGCUAGAGUGCCGGAGAGGUAAGCGGAAUUCCUAGUGUAGCGGUGAAAUGCGUAGAUAUUAGGAGGAACAUCAGUGGCGAAGGCGGCUUACUGGGCUUUAACUGACGCUGAGGCUCGAAAGCGUGGGGAGCAAACAGGAUUAGAUACCCUGGUA